GAUGAAGAACGUAGCGAAAUGCGAUAAGUAGUGUGAAUUGCAGAAUUCAGUGAAUCAUCGAAUCUUUGAACGCACAUUGCGCCCUUUGGUAUUCCUUAGGGCAUGCCUGUUCGAGCGUCAUUUACAACUUCAAGCUCAGCUUGGUGAUGGGUGUCUGUCCCGCCUUUUGCGCGCGGACUCGCCUCAAAUGCAGUUGGCAGCUUGUUCCUCGGCUCUAAACGCAGCAGAAUGCGUCGAGUGUCGGGCGGACGGGCUCUCCAGUAAGCAAACCCCCACAAAUUGACCUCGGAUCAGGUAGGGAUACCCGCUGAACUUAAGCAUAUCAAUAAGCGGAAGGA
This 338-nucleotide unclassified non-coding RNA is filed under the name soil metagenome. RNAcentral describes it as "partial contains 5.8S ribosomal RNA, internal transcribed spacer 2, and large subunit ribosomal RNA". The stretch from base 1 to 120 matches the Rfam family "5.8S ribosomal RNA", at positions 35 to 154 of the family's 154-position model. The record is from RNAcentral.